RNAcentral lists this long non-coding RNA (3007 nucleotides) under Bemisia tabaci. Its description in RNAcentral is "lncRNA ENSSSA3NGG006359". Lineage: Eukaryota; Metazoa; Arthropoda; Insecta; Hemiptera; Aleyrodidae. The record is from RNAcentral.
AUAAGUGCUUCCAAGCUAAACUGAAGACUAUAGAUCUUCUGUCGAUUUCUAAAACUGUAUGAGUUUGUAAAUAAGGCAUGGACUCUUAAUACUAAGCUGUUCCAUAUCAAGGGUGGAACUACCAGACCGCGUAUCUCGGUUUGCAACUUUGCAGACUUCCUGGCUCAAGUACUUUAUUUUUCAAUGGAUAACUACUCAACGUCAAUGCCUGGAAACUUCCAUGGUUUUUCUUUACUGUGCAAGAAAACUCUGUGAAACUCAAGAAAUAAUAUCGAUUGUUUUUCGUUCAAAAAAAAAUAAAAUGGGAGCAGAGAUUUUUAAACACCCCAAACAAGAUACAUGGUCAGGUAGUUUCACCGUCGAUAUGUAUGAAUUUGCAUAGCCUAUGAUUGAUUAGUAUUACUUACGGUUUCAAGAGCUCAAGGCUUCAAGCUCAGUUUAGCAUAAUAAAAGGCCUAACACGACAUUAUUAGGAAGAAGUUUUCGUGACAUAUUUGAGUGAAUCUAUCUAGCAUGAAUUUUACUUACCUUCAGAGAGAGAAUUUGGAGAGACGCUAGGAUAAAUAAAUGAAUAUGCUGACAAUUUCUGAAAGUUAACUACUAUCAGUUUGAUGCUGACACAAAAAUCCAUUGAGAUUGCGGUGGAGAGUAAAAUAAGUGAAACUAAUAUGUAAAAGAGAUAUUAUCUUAUCACUACAGACUGGUCUGUAAACAUCUUGUUAGAGAGAGAGAGAAGGAACCGGUAUAUUCUCCCUCUCUUUUUAUCGUGGUUUCAUUUCCGGUUCCCUUCGUUUCAUUUUGUUUUCAUUCCAUCUUUGGAAAAACACCGCAUUUCCGGUGUCUGCCAAGUUUAGCAAGAAAGUUUACUUUUCAGAAAGUACAAAGCGGCAACAUUGUUACAAUCACGCGAACCGAACUUCGUGCUUUUUGCUUUUUGCAAGCAUGACCGCACUCUUCAACAAUGUUAAAAAAUAUUAGACUUGUAAAACAACUUAGUGGAGUAUCCCAACGCAAAUAUGGAAGUUUCAGAAGGACCAGGCUGUUCAAAGCAUCAUCGUCAGUUUUACCUCUACCUGAUGUGGAAGUCACCUGCCAGAGUAUAUGCUGCUCUGCCACACUUAGAACAAAAACAAAUGAAGCCUUAAGCAACUCAGCUUCGCAAAAUCAAUCUACAGGGAAUCCACCGGAUCCUCCUGAUCCUCCUAUCGGUGAUAACAAAACAAAGCGAAAUGCUUUUCUAGCCGUAGGACUUAUCGUAUUAGCAGCAACUGUCUAUAAGGUAGUAUCAUAAUCUUCAAAUUAUUUGUUGCAUUAUCAAAACUUCCUUAGUUUGUAGACUUGUCCAAAAAUUGACAAUGCAAUAUAGGUAGAUCAGUUCAACUUUAUCUAACAGCUUUGAAGAUCGCAAUUGAUCAGUUGUUUUUUCACAUAAACAAGUUAGCUGUUGCUUACUCUUGAUAAUUCUUAAAAGUUGACAGCUUGCUUCAUUUGUACUAGACAGCUUUAUCACCAUCCUUUGCGUUUAAUCAUCAAGAAAUAGAUUCUAUCUUUAAAAGGAGAAUUUUGCAAAUCAUUAUUCAUUCCUCAAGUUUUGCAAAGAAAAUGAUAGUGUUAUCAGUUUAGUUUAGAAUUGAACUCUAUCGCUUAAAGAAAGAUCAUCAAGUGGUAUCUGUAAUAGUAGUAGCAAUUUAUGAUUGCAGGAAAGUCUGUCCCUUUAAUCAGUCAGAUUCUCUCUGUAGAGACAAGGUCGAACUUUCAAGCAGGUUUUAGUGUUCUAAUCUCAGAGGGCACUAUGCUUAAAAUGUGUCGUCAAAUCAGCUAUAGCACUCGAAAAUUGGUGUAACUAUGAUUUCUGUUGCAUACUCUCUCCUUUGCUCCUUGUACAAUUUCAUUCAUUAUCCUUAAUCUCCAUGCCUCCAAAAAAUUGAGGAUACUUUUCAUAAUUUAGGAUUGCCAGUCUCUUGCGGGGUUGUAAACAUAUUGACAGUAUUUUUUGUAACGGCAGUCAUAGUGGUACAGGAUCAUGAAUCAUUUAGUGAACAUUGUGAUUUUGAUCCAAUUAAGAAAUCUCUUGGCUCAAUGUCUGAUAUGAUGAAUACAAUUUCGAUUUAAAUUGCUACUUUUUUUUCACCUUGUUUUAUUUUCAACUAUUUCAGUUUCACCUUCAUCAAAAAGUAGUCCGACAGAUGUAUCUGCAGAAAACAAAAGUAAAAAGAAAAGAGGUAAGAAGUAUAUGCCGAGCUCUCAUUCUCAAUUUAGUAUCAUUUUUCUUACAAUUGUGUAGUUUCAUAAUGCUGAAGAACCUGAAAAAAAGUCACAAAUUAAUCUGACCAUGCUAAAAGUCAUCAAUACUAACUAUUUUCAUUGUUAGAUUUUGAAUUCUUUUGAAUUAUAAAAUGUAUAAAUGUAUUCUUUUUUGGCAAAUUAGCUAAAAAUCAACAAACAUGCUCAAGCUUAAAAUAAUAUGCAAUUACUUUGACAAUUGAAAUCAGUCGUAGAGUUCUCAUAAUUUUCAGUUUUUUCUUUUUUUUUCUUUCUUAUAAAAGGAGGAAACUAAUAAGAAAAACAUCCCGGAAAAAUUCGUCAGACAAACCCUUCUCUCUUUACUGCAAAAAGGAAAUGUAAGAAAAUAUAAGAAUGCUUCACCCACAGGGGGCUAUCAGUUUUACUAGCCAUCAAUAUUUUCAAAAAGACUCCCUUGCACAGUUAUUUUAACGUUAUACGCGUUUCUAGGGCCCUGCUAACUGUGCAAAUGAGUCUUUUUAAAAAUGUUGAUGAUUAAUACAAUUCUCGUGCAGUCCUUCUUAAAAAGUGUUCUCUUUAUUAGUUUUACUGUCAGAACAUGGCUUUGAGACUGUUUCUUUGGAUCUUUGGUGACAUGUUCAUUUAUGAUUACGUAACACUUGAUUUUUUCAUCAGCUGAGGCCAUUUUCAAACCUUUUCCGACUAUUUUGAUUGUUGAGUGUAGUUUAUUUAUUGAUUUUUUAUUUAAGUAGAUUAUAUUCAU